This 535-nucleotide ribosomal RNA is filed under the name Phytoscaphus sp. ARC3524. Its description in RNAcentral is "partial 16S large subunit ribosomal RNA". It matches the Rfam family "Bacterial large subunit ribosomal RNA", at positions 1819 to 2625 of the family's 2925-position model. The record is from RNAcentral. Lineage: Eukaryota; Metazoa; Arthropoda; Insecta; Coleoptera; Curculionidae.
GGCCUUUUGAAUUUAAUUUAAGGUCUAGCCUGCCCAAUGAGAAGUUAAAUGGCCGCGGUAUUUUGACCGUGCAAAGGUAGCAUAAUCAUUAGUUUUUUAAUUGAAAGCUGGAAUGAAAGGUUGGAUGAAAAAAUAGCUGUCUCUAUUUAAGUUUAAUUGAAUUUUAUUUUUAAGUAAAAAAGCUUAAAUUAUAAUAGAAGACGAGAAGACCCUAUAGAGUUUUAUUUAUUUUUAUAAUAUGAUUUUUAGAAUUAAUUAUUUUUAUUAAGAAUAUAAAUUUGAUUGGGGUGAUUGAAAAAUUUAAUAAACUUUUUUUUGUUGAGUUCAUUAAUUUAUGAGUAGUUGAUCCUUUUUUUAAGAUUAAAAGAUAAAAUUACCUUAGGGAUAACAGCGUAAUUUUUUUGAAGAGUUCAAAUCGAUAAGAAAGAUUGCGACCUCGAUGUUGGAUUAAAAUAUAAUUUUGGUGUAGAAGCUAAGAAUUUAGGUCUGUUCGACCUUUAAAAUUUUACAUGAUCUGAGUUUAAACCGGUGUGAG